AUGUGUGGAUUCAAUUAUGUAACUAUACACAUUUUUCUUGUGCAUGCAGGUGAAGGGUUGGAUCGGUCCAAGGAUUUCAAGCGCAAGCUGACCCCGUGUUGCGAGAGUUCCUAUGAGGGAGGGUACUGUGGAGAGCGUAGCAGUUCACGGAAGCACCUCUACUACCUAUGCCAAAAUCCCGACAAGAGGUUCUACUGGGACGAGACACAUCCGACACAUGCUGGGUGGGAGGCUGUAAUGGAGGCGCUGGAGCAGCCUUUGAUGGAAUUUCUCAAUUGA
This 279-nucleotide ribosomal RNA is filed under the name Triticum aestivum (bread wheat). RNAcentral's name for it is "partial small subunit ribosomal RNA". The record is from RNAcentral. Lineage: Eukaryota; Viridiplantae; Streptophyta; Magnoliopsida; Poales; Poaceae.